AGAAUAUAAUUUACAGGAUAAUAAUAUAAAAAAUAUAUAAGACUCUUAAUUUAUUCAACAAACAAAUCGUUGCGUUUAAAAGUCUAGUUGUUACAGUUUCACAUGAAUGAGAUCAUAGCUUGUAAAUAUGUUUGCACUUAAAUGAAUAACGCUUGCGGUUUCCGGUGUGGAUUCAGUCUUAGGAUAUGAGCGUACCUUCGUUCUCGGCUGUCUACGAUUUUAAUUACAAGCACGGUUCUCUUCUCUAGGAGAGAGAACUUCUUGCUAGCGGCUUUCAGAGCCGACGUGCGCGGGCACCGUAUCGGGACGAACACAAUUACCAUUAUUUCGUCUCGAUCUACAUUGUUUCUUUUAGAGGCGAGUCGAGUGCGAUUAAAUCUUGAUUAAAAUGACGCGAAUCUAGGCGAGGGCAAAUUGGCGAGUAAAUUUGCGCGAAUAUAAUGGAUACCCCGUUAGUUAGACCGUACUUUGAGUAAUCGCAGCAAUCUAAUACGCACCGUUGAGCAAACGCUCGCCGUGUAACCUGCUUUGAGCUGUCUGCGAGCUACCGGACAAGAUCUAUCGGCGUUUUCACGGUAUACGUAUUUUCCAGUGAAGGAAAUUAAUAGACGCGCGCGCGACGCGUUAACGACGUAGCGAGCCUCGUUUAUCUCCUGUUCAGUUUUUCGCGAUAUGGACAAGCAUCCCGUGAGUCUCAUUCUCGAGUCUUUUCCUCGGCAUGAAAACACAGGUGGUAUUCGAACAAAAUCGAAGCAAGCGUGAUCCAAGGCGAUUAAAAGCGAUUAAUAUUGAAAUAUAUUUCCGCUUCUCGUUAUCAAUGCUUUAAUUAUAUGACUCUAUUUCUAGAUUUCGAUAAAAAAAGCGAAUUAUCUUUUGCAGCACAUCUCGAGAGACGGUAGAAGAAAACUAGAGAAAAGAGUAGAAAAGAACGGCGGGGAAAAGAAGUAGGUAGAGAAGAACUUCAAUAAAGUAGAGCUAGUACGUUGGGAUAUUGAUAUAAAUGAUCGAAAUCACGUUUGUGAGAAAAAAUCCAGUCCGAUAUUUAACAACCUCGCCUAUUCCACGGCUUUCCGUCAAAGAGAGAAAGAGAGAUUGAUUAUCAGCUUCAAUAUAUCCGUUUCCAUAUUUAUGCAAGUACAUAUGAUGAAUUGCUUUACACACGCUAAGCUUAUGUUAAUUUGUGCAAACCUGUUUAAUGCGCAAAUAUUGAAUUGUAAAACGCUUCCGCCAUCGCGUUGCCAUUGCUACUAUCUCGAUGUACGCAUUUCGCUUGUUUGUCCGUGAUUCGAAAGCAAUGCGGCGAAAGUGAUUACAAAAUAUCGGAUUUAUUUAUAGACCCCUUGGCACGCGAGAAUUUCAAUUCUGCUGGUUAUCUAAAAUGGAGUUGCAAUGUCGCGAUUGUUUAGCAUGCGAGGUGUUGCUCAUGCGAAUCGCGCAAGUCGUUGUUAACUGCGGGAACGCCUCGGGGGCCACAGAGGACGAGAGAUCCCUUUACGUCGUCGGUGGGGCCCGCGCGUUAUUUUCUCGCCGAGAUAAGAUCGGCGCCGCUAAAAAUAGCACGGGCACACUAUCGACGAUACCAAGGAGCGAGAGCAUUCCGGCGAGAUUACCAAAAAUCUACGAUAACCUGUCCUAGCAGGAUUUUAUUGAGAUUGACGUUUCCCGAGGAGGAGGAAUGCGAAGCUUAACGGGGCCCCGCUGUGGCCCUUCUCCUCCACCUCUUCCUUCAUGACGAGCUUCGUUUGCGUACAUACAUACAUAUAUAUGUAUGCGGGCUGUUGACCGCUUUACAUAACGAGAAAAGAUACCGCAAGCUUUCACGAAUAUUAUCGGCAUCGUUAUAUCUGCGCUGCGUAAACCUUUUCAGCGCUGGACAAACGUUUUUAUUAACAGAACUAUGUGUAUAUGCGAGGAUUCGCGCAUCGAAGUUAUCGAAAAUUAAGUAUGGCAUAAUGAAAAGAUCCUCCGUACAAGGUCGUCGCAAGGCCGAGUGUCUCUUCAUCCUUUCUAUCGUCGGGUAGUUAUAAGACGAAACCCCCGGAGUGCGUAAUGAGAGUAUUAUUACGCGGUAAUUUCGCAGAAACAAUUCCCAUUAAGCGUAAAGCUCCGAAACUGACUCUAUUAUUAGUUGAAUCAUCAGGGAAAAGAAGAUUAACAGUGUUCAUUGGAGAUUAAAUUCCAAUGUAAUUUUAUCGAGCCUGAUUUUCUACCCUGUCGGAAUGCAUAUACUUCAGAGAAUAUCUUUGCGUGAAAAUCUCGGCUCGUUUAUAUCGAUUUUUGAUAAAGAUGAACGUUUCUCUCUUUCUCUCUCUCUCUCUCUCUCCGCGGAUGAAGACGUCGCGCGUUUCUCAUACUUCCUACAUCGAUCGAUUGGCGAAUUCCUCUCGCGAUACGCUACUCGAGAGCGCGAACGCACGUUGGUGAACGUGGGCGCGGAGAUUUUUCCAUAAAACGAGUCCCCCUCGCUCGGAUGUUGUUCGACCGCGGUGUAUCGGGAUCAAUGACACGCCCGCAGAUUCUCUCCCCCUUUGGGGAUGUCUCCUCCGCGAUCUGUGCGUGAAGCUGCGCCGGGUGGCGGUGUGUAUGCAGAAUUCCAAGCCGCCGCUGUGUCGUCGCCGCCGCCUUCCUUCCUUCGACUUCGCGCGCGCACACACAGCAGGACCUACUGGUUUCUAUUUAUACACCUUGAGCGCGCCGCGAGACCUUGCGAACCAACGCGCCUCUCACGCGAACUCAAAUUUGCUAUAUAUUAUGUCGUAUCCUUUAAUAAGUAUCAAGGGAGAUGCGCUCUCGAUACCACAAAAUUGGAAAAGAGAUUAAAAUUAUUUAAUCUUUAAUCUUUAAUUAAAAUAAUUCGAUAGAAAGUGUACAUAUA
Molecule: long non-coding RNA, 2875 nt
Organism: Formica exsecta
Lineage: Eukaryota; Metazoa; Arthropoda; Insecta; Hymenoptera; Formicidae
Exons: 3
Source: RefSeq, a predicted model, not a curated record